GGACAAUAGUAUUCUAACAGUGUUUAGUUUAGCAACUAGUGAAAACGUCUCUUGGUAGUCUAUCCCAUAUGUCUGUGUAUACCCCUUCGGACUAGCCUUGCUUUGUACCGCUCAAUGGAUCCAUGUGCCUUGUGUUUGAUGGAAAAUACCCAUCUGCAUCUUACUGUCUUCUUUCCUUCAGGUAAUCGAACUAGUAUCCACGUGUUAUUCUUUACUAGUGCCUCCAUCUCAUCUUUUAUUGCCUGAAUCCAUUUGGAAUCUGACAAGGCAUCCUGAAUUCCUGUUGGAACAUGAUUAGAAGAGAGAACAUGUACAAAAGCUUUCAGUGGAUCAGAUAACUUCGUGGUGGAUACAUAGUUGGCAACUGGAUAUCUUAAUCUUCAUUUUUCAAUGUCUGGAGAGUAUCUGCUUAGCGAUUUGCCUCGAUUAUGCCUGAAAGGUAAAUUAUAGCCACCAGGAGUAUCUAAAUUGCUUAUAUGUGAAGGAGUGCUUACCUCAGAGAUAUUCUCCGGAGAUGGGCCUGUAGAUACUGAAGAGAAAGGGGGCUCUGGUUCGGUGCAGUUUGGUUCAGCUUCUACAGUUGGUUCCGGAUCUUGAGUCAUAUCAUUCCUUAAGUCAAUAUCUAUCGGAGCUGUCUCUAUCUCAGUAUUAUUUGACCACUCAAACUUCGACCAAUUCAACUCUUCAUCCCUUGUCUCUCCCUGAAGAGGAGAAUUGGAUGUUGGAGAAACAAAUGUGUCAGACUUCGAGAAGGUAACAUCCAUAGUUACAUAGGUCCGUUUGGAGGAUGGAUCAUAGCACCGAUAGCCCUUUUGAUGUGUAGCAUAUCCCACAAAAAGACAUAGGAGAGCACAUGGGUCAAGUUUUGUAACAAACCAAUGAACCCCAAACCUUGAAUCGUGGAACGUGAUAGAGCUGCUUUAAUAACCGCUUUGAUAACUGCACUUCUUGAUAACCACGACGCGUUAUGUUUGUUAAUACCUUGGGCGACUUGAAGGUUUGGGCGAGAAUAGAGUAACAGCUCUGGGCGACUGUAUGACACUCCAUUCGCUCAGAUUCUGGGCGACUUGCAAACUUGGGCGAUGGCGUUACCGCGUUCUUGGCCCUCCUUAUUUGGGCCUUCAUCUUGAUUUGUUCGAUUGGGCUUCGUUCUUUGGGCUAUCUGAUUUGGGGAUUCUCCAAUUGGGCUUCACUCCUUGGACUGUUCGAUUUGGGCUGAAUUUUUAUGUGUCAACAAUUACCCCCCAAUAUCGCAGAAUUAAUAAUAAUUAUUAAAUUUUGCCAUAUUCACUUUGUGUUUCCAGCAACAUUCGAAAUUCCCAAGAAUUUCAAUCAUUGUUUCUUUCUAUAACUUGAAAAGGUGCGUCGUUUUGCAAACCCUUAUAAACCCCAAACACGCCAUUUCACUGCCACCAAACCACGCCUCAUAUUUUUUACGUCUUCUUCACGAUUCACUGUUCAUCUUUUGCUUCCCUGCUACGUAAUCCUAAAAAGCUUCGUUCCUUCUCAAAUGGCUGCUUCACAAUCUCAAGCUAGCGAUUCCUUUAGUUUUGAUGACUUUCAGAGACUUCUGAGUCGCCCAUACAUAACCCCAAGUUUUCUCACGCCCGCCGACGUUGGACGUAAUGAGUUUUACUUGGGUCCUUUCUUCAACAAUGCGGAGGUAGUUGAACAGGCGGCGGUGGGUCAGCUGCUUCCUUGCACUCAUGGCCCUCCUUUUCUAAACUCUCUGCCACUGGGGCCACUUCGCGAAAGAGGUAUUCGCACUUGGCCUAAAUCUGAUGUUGCUUUUCGUAGGUGGCAUGCUCGCCUUCUGGGUCAUGGUCCUACCAAGGUACUUUUUGAUAGCGCUAGGAUUUCUGAUUUGUUGGAAAUCUCUAUCCUCCCCCGUACUUUUGAUUCAGCACUCUUUUCAAUUGCUUUGAGUUUUUGGUCUUCUGAGUAUAACACCUUUAUUUUCCCUCUUGGCCCCAUGUCUAUUACCUUAAGGGAUGUUGGGGCCCUGGUGAAUCUGCCACCUUUGGGCGAUACCAUUUUUCCUGGUAUCUUAGUCUUUGGUGGCGCCCCAAAGUUUGGUAGAAACUACACUGAUUCUUAUUCAAGCCUGCAGACCUUCCACAAUCAUUCGAGCGCUGAGCCUACCCAUACUAAACGAGUGGCCUUCCUUUUAGUUUGGCUUUGUAAAUAUAUUUUGUGCGUGCCAAGUAUAAAGCCCUCUCUGAGUUAUUUACCUAUAGCGCACGAAUCGGCGCGUGGCAGGCCUUUGAAUUUAUGUUCUUUGUUUUUGGCUGCCCUUUAUAGAGGCAUGGCCUCUCUUCAAGCUGAAUUGAAGAAUGGUGCAUCUCCACUGGCAAUGGACCUCUUUGGUUCACUCAAUUGUGGUUGAGAUCCUAUUUUCCAUCGCUUGGUGCUCCAUCCAUUUCUCGCCCUUUUGCUAGCUGUUAUGGGCUAGCCAUGGAGCCCUUAACUCUUGUAAAUAUGUCCAGAAGGGACAUUUUUUCAUUCUUUUAUUCUUUGGAUUCAAUCCCUUCCUUUUUUCCUUUUCCUCCUUUUUUGACUCCAAACUAUGUACAUCCCCCUUCCACUAUAGAUAACGCGAGCACCUCCCUACUCAUUUGGAUCCAAUUUUUAACCGAGAGGGAGCUAUUUCAUGAUAUUCUAAUUGGGACCAAUGCCAAAGCGGGGGUAGAGAUUUAUGCUCCCCAAAUUUUUGCUCGUCAGCUUGGUUUUGGCCAAACUUGGCCUGUUCCUCCUUGCUAUUCAAGGAACUUAGUUGACCGUUUUCAUACCAUUACUAAGGCGAGGGUAGAGGCUAUAGAUGCUCGUAAUCUUCUUUUAACCAGUCAUUUUUCAUUGGCCCCCUUCAAUUCUAGCCACGCCAUUCACCCUCUUUUUGAACAACUCUGGCCGUCGGUGAAUCGCAGAUUAUUUGCGACUGAUGCUAAUCGUGCCUUUCAUUCAUUAGACCAACCGAGCAUUUCUUUUCCUCCUCCUGUUUUAGUCACUCAUUUGUCUGUUCGGAGCCCCUCUCCUUCUCGUCGCACUAAACAGUCCGCUCGUCCAUCUUCUUCUCUCCCUGCCAAGCCUACUACGGCCAAGAGUGCUCCAAGCCGUAAACGGCCAGCCUCAGCAUCACCCAUUCUGGAGGAUGAUGUUGAUGAUGAUGCCCCUUUUAUCGUCAGGAGGAAGGUAAUUAAAUUGGUUUACUUACAAGUAUAUUUUUCCACAUUUGAAACUUUUCUGUGUGCUGAUGAUCUUUUGGACUUUUCAGAAAAGCUCAGCCUCUCCUUCAAAGGCUUUGGCAUCGACAACUUCUGCUCCAUCAUCCUCUGCUGAGGCUACUUCAUCCAAAUCGGUUGAUGAGGGGACUACGCUUAAAGAGACAUCUUCAGUCCCAGAGUCCUCAUCACAACCCAUGAAUGAGCCACCUUCUUCCCAGGGCGUCAACCCCCCAAACAUCGAAGCAGAAGGUAAUUCAGUUUUUUGAUGUCUUACCUUUGCUCGUGCUGUUGGUUUCUGAUUUAUUACUCUUGAGUUUUGUAGAUACUCCUAUAAUUUCGCCCGUUGUGGCAACAUCUUCUCGCUCAGACAAGGGGAAGUCCUCACGAAUGGAGGAGUCAUUGGUGGCAGACUUGGUUGAGGGCAUGCCAUCUUCCACGAUUGUUGAUGAGGUAGUCUUUGCUUCACUUCUAUUUCUAUUUUGAUCGUUAGAGUGAGCAUCUUUAAUACUGGCAAUUUCCUUUGCAGGAUGCUGACAGGAUUGUGCGUUCUAUCCAAGACUUGUUCGCUUCCUGGGGGCAAGUCCAGACGUCUCGCCCUGCUCCAUCUGAUCGUCCUGCUGCUUCUUCAGAGGAAGAUUUGAAGUUCCUCAAGGAGUCGAUAUUUAAGUACGUAUCCUUCAUGGAUAUGGAUAUUGGAAGGACUAGUGCUGCCAGACACAAGGAUGAACUUGAGCACUUGAGUACGAAGUUGGAGCAAGCACUGACGCUUCCGUCGCUCAAUCUUUCUGCCGAUUUUAAAGCGACGUCGAAGGUCAUCCACUCCGAGGUCCUUUCUAUGCUGGCCAAGAAUGCUGAACUAAAGGCCAAGCGUACUCAAUAUCUUCGAGCCGUAGCUGAGAAAGAGUUUUUGCGUAUGGAGAUUAACAAGGCUGAGGACGAGUUGAAAGAAAUAUCCUCCGAAGUCAUGGUUGAAGACUCUUUGAUGGUUAAUUUGGCUGCUCAAAUGAGGGAACUUCAAGCCAAAAUGGACGACUGCAGGGCGAGAAUGGCUGCUAAAAAGCGCAACGCCUCCCAGGGAAUUGAGCGAACUAAGUCCUUGGUCGAGCAGUACAAGAAGUUGGAAGUUGAUGAUGAUGUCGCGGUUGAAUUGAACAUCACUUCCUCUCAGCAGAACGAGAAUUGGGAAAAACUUAGGGAACGAAUACGUUCAGUAUGGGGUAGACUGUAAUUAAGACAUAUGAUGUCUUUUUUCUUUUGUAAUUCGAUUUUUUCCCUUUGUAACUUUGUUCAUCAUUAAUGAACAUUAACUUCUUGUGCAUUUA
RNAcentral lists this long non-coding RNA (4543 nucleotides) under Olea europaea subsp. europaea. The record is from RNAcentral. Lineage: Eukaryota; Viridiplantae; Streptophyta; Magnoliopsida; Lamiales; Oleaceae.